UUCCAGACUCCUACGGGAGGCAGCAGUGAGGAAUAUUGGUCAAUGGGCGCGAGCCUGAACCAGCCAAGUCGCGUGAGGGAGGACGGCCCUACGGGUUGUAAACCUCUUUUGCCGGGGAGCAACGGGCGUCACGUGUGGCGUCACUGAGAGUACCCGAAGAAAAAGCAUCGGCUAACUCCGUGCCAGCAGCCGCGGUAAUACGGAGGAUGCGAGCGUUAUCCGGAUUUAUUGGGUUUAAAGGGUGCGUAGGCGGAAUGCCAAGUCAGGGGUAAAAUCGCGGGGCUCAACCUCGCUCCGCCGUUGAAACUGGCGUUCUUGAGUGGGCGAGAAGUAUGCGGAAUGCGUGGUGUAGCGGUGAAAUGCAUAGAUAUCACGCAGAACUCCGAUUGCGAAGGCAGCAUACCGGCGCCCAACUGACGCUGAAGCACGAAAGCGUGGGUAUCGAACAGGAUUAGAUACCCUAGUA
Molecule: ribosomal RNA, 466 nt
Filed under: uncultured bacterium
Lineage: Bacteria
Description: bacterial SSU rRNA
Rfam family: Bacterial small subunit ribosomal RNA
Source: RNAcentral